AACCAGUGCCAUCGCAUGUCAAGACUCCUUCCGGUGCACAGCACUGCUCUCUCGAUGGAAGUUUGUCUGUUACAGCUUUGGCAGAUUGACUCCGCCCGCCGCCUUGGCCUCUUUCUGAGGUUCGAGGUUAGACUUGCUUUUGUUCUGAAAGCGCUGUCGUACAGGGCCAGGUGUGUUUUGUUUUGAGUUGAGCUCUGCUCUCACCAUUAGGGUGAUCUCAUAGCAGUUCUCUUAGUUACAUUUCACACAUUU
Molecule: small nucleolar RNA, 252 nt
Organism: Coccidioides immitis RS
Lineage: Eukaryota; Fungi; Ascomycota; Eurotiomycetes; Onygenales; Onygenaceae
Rfam family: Small nucleolar RNA snR191
Source: Rfam